RNAcentral lists this ribosomal RNA (497 nucleotides) under uncultured bacterium. RNAcentral's name for it is "bacterial SSU rRNA". It matches the Rfam family "Bacterial small subunit ribosomal RNA", at positions 1 to 523 of the family's 1533-position model. The record is from RNAcentral.
UAGAGUUUGAUCCUGGCUCAGGAUGAACGCUGGCGGCGUGCUUAAGACAUGCAAGUCGAACGAAGAAUUUAGCAAUAAAUUCUUAGUGGCGAAUGGGUGCGUAACACGUAGGUGACCCACCCCGAAGUGUGGAAUAACAGUCCGAAAGGACUGCUAAUACCGCAUGUGGUCCCGGGUUUUAGAAAGCCGGGUCUAAAGCAGCAAUGCGCUUCGGGAGGGGCCUGCGGCCCAUCAGCUAGUUGGUAGGGUAAUGGCUUACCAAGGCUACAACGGGUAGGGGGCCUGAGAGGGUGACCCCCCACAUUGGCACUGACACACGGGCCAAACUCCUACGGGAGGCAGCAGUGAGGAAUAUUGCUCAAUGGGCGAAAGCCUGAAGCAGCAACGCCGCGUGCGCGAUGAAGGUCUUCGGAUCGUAAAGCGCUUUUGAGAGGGACGAGAUAGGACGGUACCUCUUGAAUAAGUCACGGCUAACUACGUGCCAGCAGCCCCGGUCA